CCAGUUGCUGUUCAGUGAAGUGAUUAUUUAAAGCGUUCGGAAUGUAAUUCUCAUUUUCAACUUGCUGAAGUCAAAACGCGGAGAGUAAGCAGAUUGUCAAUUUUAUCAUCAUUUCAAGACUGUAAAAUGUGGACUGUCAUCAAGAAGAAAGAUUUUGAUGAGUUUGACGCCAUCCCCCAAUCAUGGGUACUGCCAAACCACAAGGAGGCCAUGUAUCCAAUCUUGCAACCUUCUGCGAUAAGGAAAAUGGCAGAAAGAGGAGAACGAAUCGGCAAACAUGCAUACGAACUAAUUCAAAUAAUCAAGUACAAGGAUUACGACUCAUAUGAAACAGCCUAUGACAACGCCAUACGUUAUACAUCAGGGAAAACCUCCAAAUCUGCUUCUGAGGGAGAGCCCAAAGGAAGAGGGCUGCGAAAGAAAAGAAAAUCCAGAUAUCUUCAAUCUUCGGAUAGCAGUUCAAGCGAAGAAGAGGUCAGAAAGAAAAAGAAAAAGAAAGGAAAGAAACGCAUCCAACCAUCUUCCUCCAGUUCAGAAGAAAAUUCUGAAGGUGAAAUAGUGGUGCAACGAUCCAAAAAGUCAGAUGAAGCUCAGAGACACAUCCAGAGGCACUUGGAGGAAACUGAAGAUCUUUCGCUCCCUACCAUUCCUGUGUAUAAUCCAAAAUCUGCUCAAAGUUGUGACAACUUCAUGGUAGUCACACCGGGUGCGCCUGCCAACGCGGACAGUCCCCGAAAAUCGCCAAAACCAUGUUCAAAGAUCUCUCAUGAAAAAACUGCUUCUUCCACUACAAGCAAAUGUGUCGAUGCCAACAGGCCCAGCACAUCUAAAAGCCACACAGAGGAAACUGCUUCUCCCCACAAAAGAAGUAUCGACAAUGCAAAGAGACAGCUUUUCAAAGGCAAAACCAGUCACCCUAACGCUAAAUGCAAACAGGGGAAAAAAAUCAAGCAUCCUUGUGGAUUCCGGAUGAGUUGUGAGCCACUGGAAGCAAUCAUGCACACGCAGUGCAUAAUUGGAGCUGAUAUCAAUGAGAUUAAAUACAGGCUUAAGAAGCAGAAUAAAAUGGAGAAAGUCAAACGGAAUGAAAGCGGGGACGAUGAGCCGAAAAUCAAAGAAGUUGAAAUGCCAGAGAAAAUUUUAGACCAAUUACCACUGAAAAAUAAGGUGUCUCUGGACUCAUUUGAAGCACAAAUCAAGACGGAUGAUAAGCUUUUUAAGACGCUGGUUGAUGGAUUUUCGUGGCAUCAUCGCAAUGAUGCGAACAUCACAACGACUGCUAGAGGAGUGCUCAAAAGAAUCUUCGAAGUUUCUGUCCUUUCUUCAUACUCUCUAAAGGCGGCUCCAAUAAUAAGGGAGAAAAAAGUUGCCAUUCAUCGAGCUGAAAAGCUAUUCAUUAAUUAUAGAUGUUGUCAAGGCUCUUUGGAAACACAUCUUUCCCUCUUACAAAGAAGAGGCUGACAAAACAUUGGGACCAUACCUAAUCUCAUGCAAAACCCCUACAGCAUGAAUCUCAGUUGGACUCCUUCUUGGCCUUAAGUUUCACUUAUACUCUCAGGUUUUUUUUUACAUUUUUAUAAUUUAAAACUCUCGUUGAAGAAAAGACUGAUGAUUGAUUUUUUUCUUUAAAUUAUUUCGUGUAAGAAUUUGUUCCUCGUCCAAUAAGUUCUCAUUAUUAUCCAUUAGUUACAUUUCUUUGCCUUUAUCGAAAGAAAAGACUUAUGAUUGAUUUUUUUCUUUAAAUUAGUUCGUGUAAGAAUUUGUUCCUCGUCCAAUAAGUUCUCAUUAUUAUCCAUUAGUUACAUUUCUUUGCCUUUAUCGAAAGAAAAGACUAAUGAUUGAUUUUUUCUUUAAAUUAUUUCGUGUAAGAUUUGUUCUCGUCCAAGAAGUUCUCAUUAUUAUCCAUUAGUUACAUUUCUUUGCCUUUAUCGAAAGAAAAGACUAAUGAUUGAUUUUUUUCUUUAAAUUAGUUCGUCUAAGAAUUUGUUUCUCGUCCAAUAACUUCUCAUUAUUAUCCAUCAGUUACAUUUCUUUGCCGUUAUCGAAAGAAAAGACUAAUGAUUGAUUUUUUUCUUUAAAUUAGUUCGUGUAAGAAUUUGUUUCUCGUCCAAUAAGUUCUCAUUAUUAUCCAUUAGUUACAUUUCUUUGCCUUUAUCUUGAUCAAAGUGUGCUCAAAAGUUUCUUCACAUGCAAUUAUUGUACCCCUACUUACCUCAUUUUUGGAGAAUCAGUCCUUGAAGCUCCUAAAAAACCAGGCUAUUACAAUUCUGAAGCGUUGUCAUCAUAAUUUUGCCAGUUCAGCAAGCGGCACUUUUUGCCAGAUUUUUGACAUUUGUAGGCAACUUUCGGGCCACUAUCAGGAAAGGUGAAAUAGAGGUCGAAUAAAUUCUUGUGAUACAACUUGGGUCCCGACUCAGAUCAAAAUGUAGCGGGAUUCCAUGUGAUCUUGCCUUCUAAGUCAAAUUCAUGUUAUUCGUUCCAGUAUUGGAUCGUAUUUUGUAUUGUGUUACCCAAUUAUUGUGUUUCUUUACCUUUUGUCAAUGUUCGUUAGUAUGUAAGCUCCAUCAUUCCAUGUGACCUUACGAAUUCUCAUUUUGUACCUGACAUGGAUCCUUUGAUGAGAUUUUCAUCUGUAUAACCUUACUAAGGCUCUUUCCCUAAACCUUUCAAGGGUAGUUUGCUACAGUGCAUGCAGACUAAUCGCAGGAGUUAUUGGUUCAAAUCUUUUUUUCUCCAACAUUUUACAGUGUUGUCAUAUUUCAAUCAAAAAUUGCUACUCUUUGCUUCUUUUUUUUUUUUAAACAUUAACAGUUUCAGGUUUAUUUUUAUAUUACAUUGACAUGAAAGAGGUCAGAAUUGCUUCUUGCAGUGAAAAUAAAUACUGAAUAUCUAGCACAUAGUGCAGUAUUCCGUUAUUUGAAUUUAUGCUGUAAUUUGGAUGAGUUACACUAAAUUAUUAACUUUUAUUGGCCCCAAAGUUGUUCCUAAAAAAAAUGCAACACAGUAUUUCCCAGUUUAAUAUUUCAAAAACCAUGCCACACUAGAAAUAUGUGCCUUCUGACCUCUGUGCACAAACAAAGAAGUCUUUAGUUACUUUCUUAAAAGUCUUAAUUUUUAUAAAGUAACCCCUUAGAAAUACCUACUACAUUUUAUUGUAAAUACUGUUUUGAGAUUUCUGGUCGUGCCAUUAAUUUUGGCACAAAAUAUCUUGUGAUUUAAUGAAGUUCAUAAAGGUGCUCGUACUUGAAAUUUAAGUAGGAAGUUACGCACUGAACCUAGCAUUUAAGAUUAAGCGAAUUAGAUGCUUUUAGUCAAUUGUUCUUCAUACAUCUUUACAUGCAGUUGUCAGAUUUUAUAAAUUUAUGUUAUACAUUUUUUUUUACUUUUAUGUAUGGACUGAAACAGUGCAUUGUUCUAUUUUUUCCAAUAAAAAAUUAAUUAAAUGAGAUAGAACAUUUUUUCUCUUCAGAUUUUCCUGAAAGUUU
Molecule: long non-coding RNA, 3485 nt
Filed under: Bemisia tabaci
Lineage: Eukaryota; Metazoa; Arthropoda; Insecta; Hemiptera; Aleyrodidae
Description: lncRNA ENSSSA3NGG003214
Source: RNAcentral